Molecule: ribosomal RNA, 495 nt
Filed under: uncultured bacterium
Lineage: Bacteria
Description: partial 16S ribosomal RNA
Rfam family: Bacterial small subunit ribosomal RNA
Source: RNAcentral
GACGAACGCUGGCGGCGUGCCUAAUACAUGCAAGUAGAACGCUGAAGGAGGAGCUUGCUUCUCUGGAUGAGUUGCGAACGGGUGAGUAACGCGUAGGUAACCUGCCUGGUAGCGGGGGAUAACUAUUGGAAACGAUAGCUAAUACCGCAUAAGAGUAGAUGUUGCAUGACAUUUACUUAAAAGGUGCAAUUGCAUCACUACCAGUUGGACCUGCGUUGUAUUAGCUAGUUGGUGAGGUAACGGCUCACCAAGGCAACGAUACAUAGCCGACCUGAGAGGGUGAUCGGCCACACUGGGACUGAGACACGGCCCAGACUCCUACGGGAGGCAGCAGUAGGGAAUCUUCGGCAAUGGACGGAAGUCUGACCGAGCAACGCCGCGUGAGUGAAGAAGGUUUUCGGAUCGUAAAGCUCUGUUGUAAGAGAAGAACGAGUGUGAGAGUGGAAAGUUCACACUGUGACGGUAUCUUACCAGAAAGGGACGGCUAACUACGUG